This 490-nucleotide ribosomal RNA is filed under the name uncultured bacterium. RNAcentral describes it as "partial 16S ribosomal RNA". It matches the Rfam family "Bacterial small subunit ribosomal RNA", at positions 30 to 507 of the family's 1533-position model. The record is from RNAcentral.
AUUGAACGCUGGCGGCAGGCCUAACACAUGCAAGUCGAACGGUAACAGGAAGAAGCUUGCUUCUUUGCUGACGAGUGGCGGACGGGUGAGUAAUGUCUGGGAAACUGCCUGAUGGAGGGGGAUAACUACUGGAAACGGUAGCUAAUACCGCAUAACGUCGCAAGACCAAAGAGGGGGACCUUCGGGCCUCUUGCCAUCGGAUGUGCCCAGAUGGGAUUAGCUAGUAGGUGGGGUAACGGCUCACCUAGGCGACGAUCCCUAGCUGGUCUGAGAGGAUGACCAGCCACACUGGAACUGAGACACGGUCCAGACCCCUACGGGAGGCAGCAGUGGGGAAUAUUGCACAAGGGGCGCAAGCCUGAUGCAGCCAUGCCGCGUGUAUGAAGAAGGCCUUCGGGUUGUAAAGUACUUUCAGCGGGGAGGAAGGGAGUAAAGUUAAUACCUGUGCUCAUUGACGUUACCCGCAGAAGAAGCACCGGCUAACUCCGUG